Molecule: ribosomal RNA, 698 nt
Filed under: uncultured Bacilli bacterium
Lineage: Bacteria; Bacillati; Bacillota; Bacilli
Description: bacterial SSU rRNA
Rfam family: Bacterial small subunit ribosomal RNA
Source: RNAcentral
UCCUCCCGAGUGCUUGCACUCAAUUGGAAAGAGGAGUGGCGGACGGGUGAGUAACACGUGGGUAACCUACCCAUCAGAGGGGGAUAACACUUGGAAACAGGUGCUAAUACCGCACAACAGUUUAUGCCGCAUGGCAUAAGAGUGAAAGGCGCUUUCGGGUGUCGUUGAUGGAUGGACCCGCGGUGCAUUAGCUAGUUGGUGAGGUAACGGCUCACCAAGGCCACGAUGCAUAGCCGACCUGAGAGGGUGAUCGGCCACACUGGGACUGAGACACGGCCCAGACUCCUACGGGAGGCAGCAGUAGGGAAUCUUCGGCAAUGGACGAAAGUCUGACCGAGCAACGCCGCGUGAGUGAAGAAGGUUUUCGGAUCGUAAAACUCUGUUGUUAGAGAAGAACAAGGACGUUAGUAACUGAACGUCCCCUGACGGUAUCUAACCAGAAAGCCACGGCUAACUACGUGCCAGCAGCCGCGGUAAUACGUAGGUGGCAAGCGUUGUCCGGAUUUAUUGGGCGUAAAGCGAGCGCAGGCGGUUUCUUAAGUCUGAUGUGAAAGCCCCCGGCUCAACCGGGGAGGGUCAUUGGAAACUGGGAGACUUGAGUGCAGAAGAGGAGAGUGGAAUUCCAUGUGUAGCGGUGAAAUGCGUAGAUAUAUGGAGGAACACCAGUGGCGAAGGCGGCUCUCUGGUCUGUAACUGAC